CAUAUUUAUUUGUCCGCCAUCUUGGUUUCGCUAGCGAACUAUAGCGAACUACCUCCCAAGAGGGUUCGCUUCGGCAAAGACCUAUCAAUAUACAAAGAUUGGUAACAUCCAUUCAGACCAAUAGAAAUUAUCGGAAAUUCGAGCGGCGGAACCGAGAUCUAGAUCACGUGACAUCAAUCGAGCAGACGACACCAUUUUGAAGCCGAGUCGUGUAAACAAUUGCCAUCAUCGUUAUCGUUUUCACACCUGACUUUAUUGACUUUAAGGAUGCCGCGGAAGAAAUGCAGUAAGGACUUUUGUACACAGAAGUACCUAUGGAAAAAACCUAAGGUCACAACCAGCACGGAUGAAACAAUACCUGCUCUAUCGGAUGAAACAAUACCUGCUCUAUCGGAUGAAAUAAAACCUGCUCUAUCGGAUGAAACAAUACCUGCUAUUUCGGGAUUGUCAAAUGAUUCAUGUUCUGGCAACAGUCCAACAUGUAGUAAUGUUUUUGUCCAAACCUGUGAUGAGGGGAAUGACCAUGACUACUGUGUUCGUUUAGAUGAUGAUUCAGGGUUACUGAAUACAGGAUUCUGCUGCGGAAGAAAUUUUGUUUCCAUCGAAGCACUUUUCCAUUACUGACUUAAUGUAAUUUUCAAACAUAGUGUUUUGUUCGGAUUGCUUAGCUAUCACAGGAAUGGGAGAGGUACCCAAUAUAUUGUACAUUGGAUCUGUUUGAAGAUUUUUGAGUGUGCUUUUAUACGCAAUAGGAAACACUUGCUGGAACCGCUGGUUUUCCGCAUCAUCAAACUCUUGUUUGCCGCUAGACGGCUGUGAACUCUUUCUGUAGUCUGCAGCUGCAAGAAGUAAUUCAUAUGAAUAAACUAUAUGUAUUAGACUUGACCGUAUUUAUUUUGUUUUAAUCCGUACAGAUCUUGCAAAGUAUCCACGUUGGUCACCUGUUUAACACAAAAAUGUUACAGAAAUGUUGUUCUUUCAUUUUAUGAAUCUCGUUCUGAGAAAAUUGGACAUAAUGUUUUUGGGUAAAUUGUCAUUCCAGAUUAGCCUGUGCAGUUCAUACAGGCUAACCAGGGACGACACUUUCCGCUUAUAUGACAUUUUUCGUUUAAAUAAAGUCUCUUCUUAUUAAAAAACCAAUUUAGGCGUAAAGGGUCGUCCUUGAUUAGCCUUGGUGGACUGCACAGGCUAAUCUGGGAUGAAACUACGCACAAGCAUUAUGUCCAGUUUUCUCAAAACGCGACUCGUGUAAUGAAACAACAUUUCUUCAAUAAAAAGGUAUUUCGUUAAUUUAUUAUUAACUGUUGUGUAAUGUUGUAUGUUGUUAAAUAUGCUAUUAAACUAUCAAAUAAUUUA
Long non-coding RNA from Dreissena polymorpha, 1356 nucleotides. RefSeq lists it as uncharacterized. The transcript is spliced from 2 exons. The record is from RefSeq and is a predicted model, not a curated record. NCBI's taxonomy places the organism in Eukaryota, Metazoa, Mollusca, Bivalvia, Myida, Dreissenidae.